RNAcentral lists this ribosomal RNA (253 nucleotides) under uncultured bacterium. RNAcentral's name for it is "partial 16S ribosomal RNA". It matches the Rfam family "Bacterial small subunit ribosomal RNA", at positions 524 to 776 of the family's 1533-position model. The record is from RNAcentral.
UACGAAGGGUGCAAGCGUUACGCGGAAUUACUGGGCGUAAAGCGUGCGUAGGUGGUUCGUUAAGUCUGAUGUGAAAGCCCUGGGCUCAACCUGGGAAUGGCAUUGGAUACUGGCGACCUAGAGUGCGGUAGAGGGGUGUGGAAUUCCCGGUGUAGCAGUGAAAUGCGUAGAUAUCGGGAGGAACAUCUGUGGCGAAGGCGACACCCUGGACCAGCACUGACACUGAGGCACGAAAGCGUGGGGAGCAAACAGG